UGAGGAGUUAAUUUGCGUGUUUUUGUAUUUGAUUAAACACGUCCAUUAACUCUGGUAC
Molecule: microRNA precursor, 58 nt
Filed under: Aedes aegypti (yellow fever mosquito)
Lineage: Eukaryota; Metazoa; Arthropoda; Insecta; Diptera; Culicidae
Description: Aae-Mir-1891-P2-v1_pre stem-loop
Source: RNAcentral